This is a long non-coding RNA of Medicago truncatula (barrel medic), 448 nucleotides long. RefSeq lists it as uncharacterized. Lineage: Eukaryota; Viridiplantae; Streptophyta; Magnoliopsida; Fabales; Fabaceae. The record is from RefSeq and is a predicted model, not a curated record. The transcript has 2 exons.
CUUACUCUUAGUUAUAAGUACUUUAGUAUGUCUUAAUUAUUUCUUCUCCAUAUAUCAUGUCUUAGGGUAUACUGUACAUUAAAGACAAGUCUUUUAUUUUAAAGUAUGUUAUUUUGAUAGAUAUAUGAUUGAGAAGUAUUUGACUUUCUCUAGUUCAUGAUUUCAGGAAAGGUUAUUGAACAAAUAAAAGAAAAGCUUUUACUAUCUGAUCAGGACCUACAUACUAGUAAGUUGGAGCAAGGCUUAUGGUUUAUAACAAUAGACAACUUUUGAAAACCAGUCCAGAUGAAUGGCUAAUGAUGAUAUCGAUGAAGAAUUUCAAGAUUUAGAAGUACAAGAGAUGAAGACAGAUGUUUAUGUUCAAGUGUACGUUAUUUGGAUUGUGAAAAUGAUAAUUGACAUUUUGAGUUAACAAUACCCAAUUAAAUAUUCGAAUACUUUAUUGUGA